GUUGCAAACCGUAGUCUGGCUUUUUUAUGGAGGUUUUGGAGCAGUGGCUUCUUCCUUGCUGAGCGGCCUUUCAGGCUAUGUCGAUAUAGGACUAGUUUUACUGUGGAUAUAGAUACUUCUGUACCUGUUUCCACCAGCAUCUUCACAAGGUCUUUUGCUGUUGUUCUGGGAUUGAUAUGCACUUUUCGCACCAAAGUAUGUUCAUCUCUAGGAGACAGAACGCGUCACCUUCCUGAGCGGUAUGAUGGCUGCGUGGUCCCAUGGUGUUUAUACUUGCGUACUAUUGUUUGUACAGAUGAACGUGGUACCUUCAGUCGUUUGGAAAUUGCUCCCAAGGAUGAACCAGAUUGUGGAGGUCUACAACAUUUUUUCGGAGGUCUUGGCUAAUUUCUUUUGAUUUUCCCAUGAUGUCAAGCAAAGAGGCACUGAGUUUGAAGGCAAGAGGGGAGAACGAUGACAUCACAAAUUCCCAUCAAACCAACUCCUUGAAGUGUGCAGUUGUGUCUAAAAAAAGAAAAUGUACUUUACUCUGUUUAUACUUGGGAUGUCGCUUUCCAACAUUAAACGUAAAAACAACGCUGGAGGAUGUCUUUAACACAAAGGCAUUGUUUGUAAUUGAUGUCUUAGUGUUGAAGUGUGCCCAUGGCUAUCCCGUCAAUAAAUAAAAAACAAGGAAAUCA
Molecule: long non-coding RNA, 680 nt
Filed under: Salmo salar (Atlantic salmon)
Lineage: Eukaryota; Metazoa; Chordata; Actinopteri; Salmoniformes; Salmonidae
Description: lncRNA (ENSSSAG00000093525.1, ENSSSAG00020070833.1)
Source: RNAcentral